This is an RNA transcript of Rhopalosiphum padi (bird cherry-oat aphid), 2360 nucleotides long. It is a transcript of the gene named probable ATP-dependent RNA helicase DDX55 homolog, with no coding region annotated. NCBI's taxonomy places the organism in Eukaryota, Metazoa, Arthropoda, Insecta, Hemiptera, Aphididae. The record is from RefSeq and is a predicted model, not a curated record. The transcript is spliced from 10 exons.
GCAACUGGUAAGUACGGGAAGAGAGCUUUUUCAGUUGCUGGUGAUGUUUGAGGCACAAACGCAAGCGAGGGCAGCUCUCCAUAGAUAUUAAAGAAUAAUAUAAUCUAUGGGGCUCUCGAGGACACUAAGGGCAUGGAUAAUAAAGAAUCUAUAUUAUUUCCAUGAACUAUUAUUUCUAAGAAUCUUUAUUAUCUAUGCACUAAGGGGCCCGGUGGUAAACGUUUAGUUUCCAGUCCAGUUCUCCAGUACUCCGGUCAAGGACAAAGCUCUUUUAGUCUGUAAGUCCAUUGUACGAUUAAGGAUAUAGUAUAUACUAUAUCAUACAUCUUAAAUCGUGGUCCAAUGUAGUAGUCCGUGAUAAAAACCACAGUUUUAUCUAUGAUUGUGAUUUAAACAUGAAAAAUAUGAUAAGAAUUACGGAUGAUUAUAUGUGUGAUAAAAAUGUAUUUCAACAACACGUGUGACGCCUAACGAGAUAUUAAAUUGGCAAUAUUAUAAAUUAAUAAUUAUUUUACAUUUCUGUUAUACAUAUUAAAUAAUAGGAUAUUUUAAUAUUUACUAAUUAGUUAUUAGUAAUAAUUACAUUUUGUAAUAUUAAAAAAUAUAUUUUCUACAAAUACUUAUUUAUAAAAGACAUGUAAGUAUGUCUUUAGCACCAUCUUUGAAAUGGGAAUCUUUAAAUCUAUCUGAACCUGUUCUAAAAACAAUCAAAGAACACUUCAAAUUUCAAUGCAUGACGCCAAUUCAAGUCGAAUCUAUAAAGAAUUUUUUAGAGAAAAAGAAAGAUGUCGCUGCAGAAGCAGUCACUGGUAGCGGGAAAACAUUAGCAUUUUUAGUUCCAAUGCUAGAAUUGAUUUUAAAACGCAGUGAUCCUUUGAAAAAACAUGAAGUUGGAGGUCUUAUAAUAUCUCCUACUAGAGAAUUAGCUACUCAAACCAGUCAUGUCUUGGCCGAAUUUUUGAACAAUAUUGAAGGAGUUACACAAAUGCUAACUUUAGGUGGCAAUCCAAUAGAAACUGAUGUUAAAGCAUUUAAUAAAAAUGGAGCAAACAUUCUUGUGGCUACUCCUGGACGACUAGAAGAUUUAUUAACUAGAAAAAUACCUAAUUUUCAUUUACACAAAUCACUUAAAUCAUUGGAAAUGCUGGUGUUAGAUGAAGCUGAUAAGCUUUUAGAAUUAGGUUUUGAAAAGCCUAUAAAUACUGUUUUACAAUAUUUGCCUACACAAAGAAGAACUGGGUUAUUUUCAGCUACUCAAACUAAACAGGUAGCAAUGCUUGUUAAGGCAGGACUCAGAAAUCCUAUUAUGGUUAUUGUCAAGGAAAAACAUUGUUUAAACCCAAAAAGUAAUCAAAUUGAAUCCAUAUCUACACCUUCUGCAUUACAAAAUUAUUACACAAUAUGUGAUGCUGAUAAAAAAUUAGCAUUCUUAGUGACGUUUUUAAAAAAAAAUGGAUUAAAUUCAAAAUAUAUGUUGUUUUUAUCAACAUGUGCUUGUGUUGAAUACUUUUCAAUAAUUUUAAAAAGUCUGAUACCUGAAAUAAACUUAUUCAGCUUACACGGAAAAAUGAAUAAUAAACGUUAUAGAAUAUUUGAAUUAUUUUGGAAAGCUGAUAGAGGUAUUUUGAUAUGUACGGAUGUAAUGGCACGUGGUGUUGAUAUACCGGAAGUAAAUUGGGUAAUUCAAUACGAUCCUCCUAAUAAUGCAUCUUCUUUUGUACAUCGUGCUGGUCGAACAGCUCGAGUAGGUAAAAGUGGAUCUUCAUUAGUUAUGUUGAUGCCAAAUGAGGAUGCUUACAUACAUUUCAUUUAUUCAAAUCAAAAGGUAAUAUUGGAAUUAAUGCCUGAAUUAGAAGUUGAAAAUGUGGAUCUUAUUGUUGAAAAAGUAAGAAAGCGUCAACUCAAAGAUAGAACAAUAUUUGAUAAAGCUAAUAAAGCAUUUGUAUCUUACAUACAAGCUUAUUCAAAACAUGAAUGUCAUUUACUAUUACGUAUAAAAGGAUAUAAUGCAGAUGCCAUUUUUUCAAAGCAGAAUGUUUUUUGUUAUUUGGAAACAGUGGGACACUGCUCAAAAGUGGGACGACUGCUCUGCCCAAAGCGAGACAUAUGGUCAUGUUAAUUAUAUUCUCAAACAUGAAUAUGGCAAUACAUCUAGAUAGGAAUGCAUCUGAGACCUGAAUAGAUAUAUUAUAAUGCCUAAUAUCCCUGUGGGCUGUGAUUUUAAUUAUGUAUAAUUUGGAAUUUGGUAAACUUGCAACUGGCUUUGGUCUGUUAAGACUUCCAAAAAUGCCAGAAUUAAAAAACAAGGAUACUAGUGAUUUUAUUCCUGUUGAUAUUGACUUCAAUUCUAUUAAAUAUCA